UACGUAGGGUGCAAGCGUUAAUCGGAAUUACUGGGCGUAAAGCGUGCGCAGGCGGUUUUGUAAGUCUGUCGUGAAAUCCCCGGGCUCAACCUGGGAAUUGCGAUGGAGACUGCAAGGCUAGAAUCUGGCAGAGGGGGGUAGAAUUCCACGUGUAGCAGUGAAAUGCGUAGAGAUGUGGAGGAACACCGAUGGCGAAGGCAGCCCCCUGGGUCAAGAUUGACGCUCAUGCACGAAAGCGUGGGAGCAACAGG
RNAcentral lists this ribosomal RNA (251 nucleotides) under uncultured bacterium. RNAcentral describes it as "partial 16S ribosomal RNA". It matches the Rfam family "Bacterial small subunit ribosomal RNA", at positions 524 to 776 of the family's 1533-position model. The record is from RNAcentral.